UAACAAGGAUUCCCCUAGUAACUGCGAGUGAAGCGGGAUGAGCUCAAAUUUAAAAUCUGGUGGUCUUCUGGCCGUCCGAGUUGUAGUCUAGAGAAGUGUUAUCCGCGUCGGACCGUGUACAAGUCUCCUGGAAUGGAGCGUCAUAGAGGGUGAGAAUCCCGUCCAUGACACGGACGCCCGAUGCUUUGUGAGGCACCCUCGAAGAGUCGAGUUGUUUGGGAAUGCAGCUCAAGAUAGGUGGUAAAUUCCAUCUAAAGCUAAAUAUUGGCGAGAGACCGAUAGCGAACAAGUACCGUGAGGGAAAGAUGAAAAGCACUUUGGAAAGAGAGUUAAACAGUACGUGAAAUUGUUGAAAGGGAAACGCUUGAAGUCAGUCGCGUCCCGCGGAACUCAGCCUGGUUUCGGCCUGGUGUACUUUCCAUGGGACGGGUCAACAUCAGUUUCGGUCGGUGGAAAAAGGCGAGGGGAAUGUAGCGCCGCUUCGGUGGCGUGUUAUAGCCUCUCGUCGCAUACACUGACCGGGACUGAGGAUCGCAGCACGCCCUUGUGGCCGGGGGUUCGCCUCACGUAACGUGCUUAGGAUGUUGGCAUAAUGGCUUUAAGCGACCCGUCUUGAAACACGGACCAAGGAGUCUAACAUGCUUGUGAGUGUUCGGGUGGAAAACCCUUGCGCGUAAUGAAAGUGAAAGUUGGGAACCUCCGCGAGGGGGUGCACCGACGCCCGGCCCUGACGUUCUCUGACGGUGCUGCGGUAGAGCAAGUAUGUUGGGACCCGAAAGAUGGUGAACUAUGCCUGAAUAGGGCGAAGCCAGAGGAAACUCUGGUGGAGGCUCGUAGCGAUUCUGACGUGCAAAUCGAUCGUCAAAUUUGGG
This 872-nucleotide ribosomal RNA is filed under the name Rigidonotus pruinosus. RNAcentral describes it as "LSU rRNA". It matches the Rfam family "Eukaryotic large subunit ribosomal RNA", at positions 66 to 915 of the family's 3401-position model. Lineage: Eukaryota; Fungi; Basidiomycota; Agaricomycetes; Hymenochaetales; Hymenochaetaceae. The record is from RNAcentral.